CUCACAGUGCGCUUAGUCAACACCACAACCUCAGGAGGCAGGUUCUAUUGUUAUUCCCAUUUUGCAGACAAGGUUUAGAGAAAUUAAGUAAUCUGCUCAGACCACAUACCUAGGAGGUAGUGAGCCUGGAUUUAUGCCAUAAUGGCCAUUUUGGGAACUUGUCUGAAAAUUCCUCUGGGUUAUUUCAGAAUCCAGUUGUCAGCCUGGUCUUUAGAAAGGGUUGCAGUAGAGGCCAGUUGUCUCUCCCACACACCUGGAGACAUUUCAGGUCUGGAGGGCUAACCUGAAUCAGAGGGAAUGGGCUUUCAGCUGGCAUAAGACCUGAGGCCAUAUUCAUAAAGUUAAUUCGUUUUGCUUCCUUCUCUUUUGAGGAGUUUUCCUAGUCUGCCCCAGGCAAAGUCAAAGAGGCUGUGAAGGUGGCCAUUGAUGAAGGAUACCAUCCAUGGACUGUGCCUAUCUUUACAAGAAUGAGAAUGAUUUGGGGGAAGCCAUUCGAGAGAAGAUCCAAGAGAAGGUUGUGAAGAGGGAGGACCUCUUCACUGUUGUCAGGAGGAGACGAUGGGGCAGACAGCCACUGGUCUGGAUGGGAGGCCGAGUCCAUGUGUGGCUGCGGAGACUGACCGCUUGCCUGUUUUCUCUCAGUUGCAUCUUAAAGAAUCAUGAUUUCUGGCAGCCCAGCCUGGGGAGGACUUUGUUCCCAAAGAUGAUAAAGGCAUUGUCCUUACCAGCAAAACAACAUUCUCGGAUGUCUCGGAAGUAGGUUCCAUCUUCUUCUAAGUGUACUGGGAGUGAAAACUUUCCUUCAGUCAUCCACAAGGAUCUACAGUGGUGUGAAGGAGCCCACGUUCUGUUCUUGGUGCUAUUUCAUUCCAUUGUCAUUCUCCAAUUCUUUGAACUCCUUCCUAAUUUCUUUUGGCUUUUGGGUCAAUUUGACACUAUUUAUGUUUUCAAAGGCUAAAACUGAGUCCUCAAAUGAGGCUGGGAAUAUAAUAUACCUCAGUUUGGAGGAUACACUGCUGUUCUCACACCAGGGGGAGGGAUUUGAACGCAGUGUCACUCUAGGUUUGCGUGUCUUAGCUGAGUAUCCUAGGGUGAGUUAUUUAACUCCAAUAAGCCUCAGUUUCUGCCUCUUGAAAAAAAAGCCUUUUUGUUUUUAAAGUGAUUUUUACAUGUGAUUUUUUUUUCUUGAGGAAGAUUAGCCCUGAGCUAACUACUGCCAGUCCUCCUCUUUUUUGCUGAGGAAGACUGGCCCUGAGCUAACAUCCAUGCCCAUCUUCCUCUACUUUAUAUGUGGGACGCCUACCACAGCAUGGCGUGCCAAGCAGUGCCAUGUCCACACCUGGGAUCCGAACCUGCGAACCCCGGGCCACCAAAGUGGAAUGUGCGCACUUAACUGCUGAGCCACCAAGCCGGCCCCCUGGGCCUUCCUUGAUUAAAAAGGUUAGGUUUUAGGAUAAACAGAUUAGGUUCCUAUUAAUGAACUAUAUGACAUUUUUUGCGUCAUUUGAAUUUAAUCAAACAGGGGUAAAUAAGUAAGCUGAUAUGGAGAAAUGCUGUAUUUUAAAAAAAGCAACUUCCUGGUUAUUCCUGAUUUUAUUUUCCACAAUUAUAUCUCAAGUAACGAGAGCUUUGCUGGCCUCAGGGUCCUCAAUCUCACAA
This 1659-nucleotide long non-coding RNA is filed under the name Equus caballus (horse). Its description in RNAcentral is "lncRNA (ENSECAG00000047392.1)". The record is from RNAcentral. Lineage: Eukaryota; Metazoa; Chordata; Mammalia; Perissodactyla; Equidae.